GGGAGCAUAGCUCAGUUGGUUCAGAGCAUCUCGUUUACACCGAGAGGGUCCGCGGUUCGAGCCCGUGUGCUCCCA
RNAcentral lists this transfer RNA (75 nucleotides) under Sediminibacterium sp. Its description in RNAcentral is "tRNA-Val". It matches the Rfam family "tRNA". From Rfam's summary of the family: Transfer RNA (tRNA) molecules are approximately 80 nucleotides in length. Their secondary structure includes four short double-helical elements and three loops (D, anti-codon, and T loops). Lineage: Bacteria; Pseudomonadati; Bacteroidota; Chitinophagia; Chitinophagales; Chitinophagaceae. The record is from RNAcentral.